AGUGAACGCUGGCGGCAGGCCUAAUACAUGCAAGUCGAACGGCAGCACAGCAGAGCUUGCUCUGUGGGUGGCGAGUGGCGGACGGGUGAGGAAUACAUGGGAAUCUGCCCAGUCGUGGGGGAUAACGUAUGGAAACGUACGCUAAUACCGCAUGCGCCCUAAGGGGGAAAGCCGGGACCGCAAGGCCUGGCGCGAUUGGAUGAGCCCAUGUUCGAUUAGCUAGUUGGCGGGGUAAAGGCCCACCAAGGCGACGAUCGAUAGCUGGUCUGAGAGGAUGAUCAGCCACACUGGAACUGAGACACGGUCCAGACUCCUACGGGAGGCAGCAGUAGGGAAUAUUGGACAAUGGGGGCAACCCUGAUCCAGCCAUGCCGCGUGAGUGAAGAAGGCCCUCGGGUUGUAAGCUCUUUUGUCCGGAAGAAAAGCAAUCGGUUAAUACCCGGUUGUUCUGACGGUACCGGAAGAAUAAACACCGGCUAACUUCGUGCCAGCAG
Molecule: ribosomal RNA, 494 nt
Filed under: uncultured bacterium
Lineage: Bacteria
Description: bacterial SSU rRNA
Rfam family: Bacterial small subunit ribosomal RNA
Source: RNAcentral